UAUCCUGUCUGAAUAUGGGGGGACCAUCCUCCAAGGCUAAAUACUCCUGACUGACCGAUAGUGAACCAGUACCGUGAGGGAAAGGCGAAAAGAACCCCGGCGAGGGGAGUGAAAAAGAACCUGAAACCGUGUACGUACAAGCAGUGGGAGCAUGCUUAGGCGUGUGACUGCGUACCUUUUGUAUAAUGGGUCAGCGACUUAUAUUCUGUAGCAAGGUUAACCGAAUAGGGGAGCCGAAGGGAAACCGAGUCUUAACUGGGCGUUAAGUUGCAGGGUAUAGACCCGAAACCCGGUGAUCUAGCCAUGGGCAGGUUGAAGGUUGGGUAACACUAACUGGAGGACCGAACCGACUAAUGUUGAAAAAUUAGCGGAUGACUUGUGGCUGGGGGUGAAAGGCCAAUCAAACCGGGAGAUAGCUGGUUCUCCCCGAAAGCUAUUUAGGUAGCGCCUCGUGAACUCAUCUCCGGGGGUAGAGCACUGUUUCGGCAAGGGGGUCAUCCCGACUUACCAACCCGAUGCAAACUGCGAAUACCGGAUAAUGUUAUCACGGGAGACACACGGCGGGUGCUAACGUCCGUCGUGAAGAGGGAAACAACCCAGACCGCCAGCUAAGGUCCCAAAGUCAUGGUUAAGUGGGAAACGAUGUGGGAAGGCCCAGACAGCCAGGAUGUUGGCUUAGAAGCAGCCAUCAUUUAAAGAAAGCGUAAUAGCUCACUGGUCGAGUCGGCCUGCGCGGAAGAUGUAACGGGGCUAAACCAUGCACCGAAGCUGCGGCAGCGACACUAUGUGUUGUUGGGUAGGGGAGCGUUCUGUAAGCCUGUGAAGGUGUACUGUGAGGUAUGCUGGAGGUAUCAGAAGUGCGAAUGCUGACAUAAGUAACGAUAAAGCGGGUGAAAAGCCCGCUCGCCGGAAGACCAAGGGUUCCUGUCCAACGUUAAUCGGGGCAGGGUGAGUCGACCCCUAAGGCGAGGCCGAAAGGCGUAGUCGAUGGGAAACAGGUUAAUAUUCCUGUACUUGGUGUUACUGCGAAGGGGGGACGGAGAAGGCUAUGUUGGCCGGGCGACGGUUGUCCCGGUUUAAGCGUGUAGGCUGGUUUUCCAGGCAAAUCCGGAAAAUCAAGGCUGAGGCGUGAUGACGAGGCACUACGGUGCUGAAGCAACAAAUGCCCUGCUUCCAGGAAAAGCCUCUAAGCAUCAGGUAACAUCAAAUCGUACCCCAAACCGACACAGGUGGUCAGGUAGAGAAUACCAAGGCGCUUGAGAGAACUCGGGUGAAGGAACUAGGCAAAAUGGUGCCGUAACUUCGGGAGAAGGCACGCUGAUAUGUAGGUGAAGUCCCUCGCGGAUGGAGCUGAAAUCAGUCGAAGAUACCAGCUGGCUGCAACUGUUUAUUAAAAACACAGCACUGUGCAAACACGAAAGUGGACGUAUACGGUGUGACGCCUGCCCGGUGCCGGAAGGUUAAUUGAUGGGGUCAGCGCAAGCGAAGCUCUUGAUCGAAGCCCCGGUAAACGGCGGCCGUAACUAUAACGGUCCUAAGGUAGCGAAAUUCCUUGUCGGGUAAGUUCCGACCUGCACGAAUGGCGUAAUGAUGGCCAGGCUGUCUCCACCCGAGACUCAGUGAAAUUGAACUCGCUGUGAAGAUGCAGUGUACCCGCGGCAAGACGGAAAGACCCCGUGAACCUUUACUAUAGCUUGACACUGAACAUUGAGCCUUGAUGUGUAGGAUAGGUGGGAGGCUUGGAAGUGUGGACGCCAGUCUGCAUGGAGCCGACCUUGAAAUACCACCCUUUAAUGUUUGAUGUUCUAACGUUGACCCGUAAUCCGGGUUGCGGACAGUGUCUGGUGGGUAGUUUGACUGGGGCGGUCUCCUCCUAAAGAGUAACGGAGGAGCACGAAGGUUGGCUAAUCCUGGUCGGACAUCAGGAGGUUAGUGCAAUGGCAUAAGCCAGCUUGACUGCGAGCGUGACGGCGCGAGCAGGUGCGAAAGCAGGUCAUAGUGAUCCGGUGGUUCUGAAUGGAAGGGCCAUCGCUCAACGGAUAAAAGGUACUCCGGGGAUAACAGGCUGAUACCGCCCAAGAGUUCAUAUCGACGGCGGUGUUUGGCACCUCGAUGUCGGCUCAUCACAUCCUGGGGCUGAAGUAGGUCCCAAGGGUAUGGCUGUUCGCCAUUUAAAGUGGUACGCGAGCUGGGUUUAGAACGUCGUGAGACAGUUCGGUCCCUAUCUGCCGUGGGCGCUGGAGAACUGAGGGGGGCUGCUCCUAGUACGAGAGGACCGGAGUGGACGCAUCACUGGUGUUCGGGUUGUCAUGCCAAUGGCACUGCCCGGUAGCUAAAUGCGGAAGAGAUAAGUGCUGAAAGCAUCUAAGCACGAAACUUGCCCCGAGAUGAGUUCUCCCUGACUCCUUGAGAGUCCUGAAGGAACGUUGAAGACGACGACGUUGAUAGGCCGGGUGUGUAAGCGCAGCGAUGCGUUGAGCUAACCGGUACUAAUGAACCGUGAGGCUUAACCUUACAACGCCGAAG
RNAcentral lists this ribosomal RNA (2526 nucleotides) under Escherichia coli. Its description in RNAcentral is "partial 23S ribosomal RNA". It matches the Rfam family "Bacterial large subunit ribosomal RNA", at positions 430 to 2925 of the family's 2925-position model. Lineage: Bacteria; Pseudomonadati; Pseudomonadota; Gammaproteobacteria; Enterobacterales; Enterobacteriaceae. The record is from RNAcentral.